Molecule: long non-coding RNA, 221 nt
Organism: Solea solea (common sole)
Lineage: Eukaryota; Metazoa; Chordata; Actinopteri; Pleuronectiformes; Soleidae
Exons: 3
Source: RefSeq, a predicted model, not a curated record
CACGGCUGAAAGCCCAGACUGUCCAAACAGGAAACCUGGAGAAACACGGCUUAUAGUGAGCGGAUUUCUGCACUGUUACCUCCUGCAGAUGUGAUAGGCCACGAUGACGAGGCAACUCAAGAGUCCACACAGAGGAAUGGAGGAGAAAGGAAAUAAAUCCAGAAGACUGUCAAUGUUCAAGGCCAAGUCUGGUCCUAAGAUGGAGGACGGGGCACUUCCUG